Patella vulgata (common limpet) is the source of this 288-nucleotide long non-coding RNA. RefSeq lists it as uncharacterized. The transcript is spliced from 3 exons. Lineage: Eukaryota; Metazoa; Mollusca; Gastropoda; Patellidae. The record is from RefSeq and is a predicted model, not a curated record.
GAAUUUGAUUAACGGUAUAAUGAUUUGGGAACUUUAAAAGAUAUAAGUAUUGCGCAUUUACACAGACAUCACCCAAUUUUCUAUGAGAAAUCUCCGAUUACAUUGGCAACAGCGUUGCAGCCGUACUUGUCAAAUCUACUGGUUGACUGGGGAAUGAAUACAACUGGCGGUUUAUUUACUGUAAGAACAACUUCUGAUAAAGAUGGGAAUACGGUAUUCCUACCCUUUGACAAAUAUUUCCUGGUGGACAGAUACAUCUGUAGGCUGUUCCUCCAUUGGUUAAUUCCU